GAUGAAGAACGUAGCGAAAUGCGAUACGUAAUGUGAAUUGCAGAAUUCAGUGAAUCAUCGAGUCUUUGAACGCACAUUGCGCCCCCUGGUAUUCCGGGGGGCAUGCCUGUCCGAGCGUCAUUGCUGCCCUCAAGCACGGCUUGUGUGUUGGGCCUCCGCCCCCCGGCUCCCGGGGGGCGGGCCCGAAAGGCAGCGGCGGCACCGCGUCCGGUCCUCGAGCGUAUGGGGCUUCGUCACCCGCUCCGUAGGCCCGGCCGGCGCCCGCCGGCGACCCCCCUCAAUCUUUCAAGGUUGACCUCGGAUCAGGUAGGGAUACCCGCUGAACUUAAGCAUAUCAAUAAGCGGAGGA
RNAcentral lists this unclassified non-coding RNA (349 nucleotides) under soil metagenome. RNAcentral's name for it is "partial contains 5.8S ribosomal RNA, internal transcribed spacer 2, and large subunit ribosomal RNA". The stretch from base 1 to 120 matches the Rfam family "5.8S ribosomal RNA", at positions 35 to 154 of the family's 154-position model. The record is from RNAcentral.